RNAcentral lists this ribosomal RNA (239 nucleotides) under uncultured bacterium. RNAcentral's name for it is "partial 16S ribosomal RNA". It matches the Rfam family "Bacterial small subunit ribosomal RNA", at positions 15 to 236 of the family's 1533-position model. The record is from RNAcentral.
GAUCAUGGCUCAGGAUGAACGCUGGCGGCGUGCCUAACACAUGCAAGUCGAACGGAGCUGCUUUGAUGAAGUUUUCGGAUGGAUUUAAAGCAGCUUAGUGGCGGACGGGUGAGUAACGCGUGGGUAACCUGCCUCACACUGGGGGAUAACAGUUAGAAAUAGCUGCUAAUACCGCAUAAGCGCACGGUUCCGCAUGGAACAGUGUGAAAAACCCCCGGUGGUGUGAGAUGGACCCGCGU